Molecule: non-coding RNA, 118 nt
Organism: Picea glauca (white spruce)
Lineage: Eukaryota; Viridiplantae; Streptophyta; Pinopsida; Pinales; Pinaceae
Source: Rfam
AUGUAUAUUCCUACAAUGUUCAUACAUUGAAUCCCAUCAGAACUCCAUAAUUAAGAGCACUUGGGAUAGAGUAGUAUUGGGAUGGGUGACCUCCUGGAAAGUACUAGUGUUUUACAUG